AUCUCUGAAAGACAAAGAACAGGAAUCCGAAGCUCUCAAACGAAUAAUAAAUGAGAAGGACGAGCAGCUUCAAUUGAUGAAAUCUGCAUCUAAAGAAAAGCAAAAGGAGACUGAAGCC
This is a non-coding RNA of Poecilia reticulata (guppy), 118 nucleotides long. NCBI's taxonomy places the organism in Eukaryota, Metazoa, Chordata, Actinopteri, Cyprinodontiformes, Poeciliidae. The record is from RefSeq and is a predicted model, not a curated record.